This 229-nucleotide ribosomal RNA is filed under the name uncultured bacterium. RNAcentral describes it as "partial 16S ribosomal RNA". It matches the Rfam family "Bacterial small subunit ribosomal RNA", at positions 1271 to 1500 of the family's 1533-position model. The record is from RNAcentral.
CCCAAAAAAAGUAAGUCCCAGUUCGGAUUGAAGGCUGAAAUUCGCCUUCAUGAAGCCGGAAUUGCUAGUAAUGGCAGGUCAGCAUACUGCCGUGAAUACGUUCCCGGGCCUUGUACACACCGCCCGUCACACCAUGAGAGUUGGGAAUACCCGAAGCCUGUGAGCUAACGUUAAGAGGCAGCAGUCGAAGGUAGAAUCAAUGAUUGGGGUGAAGUCGUAACAAGGUAAC